AGGGUUUCAUCCAGGUACUCCGGUUUCCUCCUCACAUGCAGCUUAAAUGCUCCAUGGUGCUGCCAUCUGUAAAUGAGCUCCUUGUCUGGUCUUUCUUCGAGUUCUGAAUUAAGCUGAUGAGGAACGGGGAACGUGGAGCAAGCCUGGCCAUGCAGGAAGUCUUAUAACGCACAAUGGCAGUAACACAGAAUCUCCCAGCACAAUGGAGACAUUCUAAUUCCCAAUAAGGACAUGGGGACUACAACGGAGGAACAGACACAAGAGAAAGGUCAAAAAAAUAGCAGAUCUCGUGCCAUGAUCCACGGCUUCCAGUGUAAAGAAAUUGUCUUUUUUUCCCUUUGCCAUUAAUUCAAUUACAACUAUUUAUGUCGUCUUUAUGCGGUGAAAAUGGCACGAUAUUAAUAAA
Molecule: long non-coding RNA, 406 nt
Organism: Pseudophryne corroboree (corroboree frog)
Lineage: Eukaryota; Metazoa; Chordata; Amphibia; Anura; Myobatrachidae
Exons: 4
Source: RefSeq, a predicted model, not a curated record